GAUGAACGCUGGCGGCGUGCCUAAUACAUGCAAGUCGAGCGAACAGACGAGGAGCUUGCUCCUCUGACGUUAGCGGCGGACGGGUGAGUAACACGUGGAUAACCUACCUAUAAGACUGGGAUAACUUCGGGAAACCGGAGCUAAUACCGGAUAACAUGUUGAACCGCAUGGUUCAACAGUGAAAGACGGUCUUGCUGUCACUUAUAGAUGGAUCCGCGCCGCAUUAGCUAGUUGGUAAGGUAACGGCUUACCAAGGCAACGAUGCGUAGCCGACCUGAGAGGGUGAUCGGCCACACUGGAACUGAGACACGGUCCAGACUCCUACGGGAGGCAGCAGUAGGGAAUCUUCCGCAAUGGGCGAAAGCCUGACGGAGCAACGCCGCGUGAGCGAAGAAGGUCUUCGGAUCGUAAAACUCUGUUAUUAGGGAAGAACAAAUGUGUAAGUAACUAUGCACGUCUUGACGGUACCUAAUCAGAAAGCCACGGCUAACUACGUG
RNAcentral lists this ribosomal RNA (497 nucleotides) under uncultured bacterium. Its description in RNAcentral is "partial 16S ribosomal RNA". It matches the Rfam family "Bacterial small subunit ribosomal RNA", at positions 28 to 507 of the family's 1533-position model. The record is from RNAcentral.